GUCAUUCACGACUGUUAUGUAUUUGAACGUCACAUUGGCAUGAAAGAAAAAUGUGCUUUUGAUCAAUUGCCGACGCACACAUUGGAAUGAGAAAGUACCAUAAAAUCACACAAUUUUCGCCACACCAUGACGAUAAGGAACACUCCAUACAAAGCAAAAUCUUGUGGAUGUUUACCGAGAUGAAAAUUUUACAAACAUCUCCAACCUACUAAAAAAUGCUUGACCUGGCUGGCCUGUUUCAAGGUGUUGUUGGAAAUCUGGUCACACUUUUCGAAGGAAAGUUUCCGUCUGCAACUUUGAACUUCAGAUUAUGGAAAAGAAAGCAAAGAAGGGUAAAAUCGAGUUGGUUGUGCUGUUUUUAUUGUAGCUUUCAUAAGCAUCUAGAGAAGUCUGUAAGGCAGGCAAUUGAGUAGUGGCUACCCAGACGAUAAGAGCCUUUGAAUAACCACACAGAUGUUUGUAAAAAGUUGUCUUCUCCGCUUACUCGCAGUGCAUACUCUUGGCCUUGCUUGUUCUGUGUUCAGACGUCAGAGACGUUACGAUGAGGGUAUUUUCUUAAAUUCAUAUUUCAUUUUCUCUUUGAGCAUCAGAGCCAUAAUUUCGAUUUGAAAUGAAAAUAAAAAAUCAAUCUAUUUUUUUCUCUUUCAAUGAGGCAAAUACCUUCGAUGAGAGGAAAAUAUUGUUGUUUUCUAUUGACAAAUAGAGCAUGAGCAACCCUGUUCCAAGGCAGUGCUUCCAGGUUUUGACGCAAGUGCAAGUAAUAGCGCAAACAAUUCUAAGAAAUCAGUAUAAAUCUGAACCAUUGUAGUGGUACAAACCUUUCAAGUCCUACUCAAAGUUCUUUUAAAUUCUCAACAUUUACCUAUAGGAUCAAAGCAAACUGAAUACUCUGUAAUAAACUAGCGUUUGUAAAGACUGUUUCACCCGGCCGAUUACCAGAUUGAAAAAAGUAGCAAGACUGUAGUUGUUGGUUAGUGAGCUGAAAAAGCAGGUUUUGAUUUAGAAUAGAUACGGGUAGGCAUCGGACACCUGGCGGAAAUAUUCGUUAAACAUGACAUUUGUUACAGAUUAUGCAAAAUAGCUGCCAUUGCCUGGUGCUUUCUGAAGUUAUGUUAUUAUCGAACAGGUAAAAGCCAAAGUUUAGCUAAUGUUGAAAUGAUUUGAAUUGAAAAAAAAGACACAAGUAAAAAGCAAAAAAAACGCACUGACAAUCCAAGCCUCUCAUUUCGGACCACUUUGAUUUCAAAAUAAUUGAAGCCACAACAAAUGUGAGGAAUCUACAAACAAAAUCUGAUGACAAAAUGUUGACUGACAAAUCAAUAUCUAGUAUGGACCAAAAAUUAUUGAACUCAUACUUCAACCAUCACGACUCAUCAUCUUUGGAUUGAUCUGAAAAUUCAUUCCGGCACCUGAGCUCAUGCCACUUAAUUUCGAAACUCGUUGAACACAAUAUCUUCCUUCGUCUCAAAGCCGCCAGAGGUCGGGCAUGUUUUCCAUUCGCAUGAACUUUCACAUUCGCCUCAGCCUGUCAGUCUGUCUGUCUGUCAGUCAGUCUUUCGCCAGUCCUUGUAAGUGCUACUGACUGCUCCUUCGUACCUGAUCCAGCUAACUCAGUACGGCCAGUGGCUCCUUUUGGUUGGUCUCAGCCUUCUUUUGUUGGCGUGUUCCGUGGCUUUUCAGUGACCUUGAUCCGGUGGACGGAUCGUUGUGAACUGGCAGGCUUUGGUCCCAUCGAGAAUCUACCUUGUUCCUGCUUUGUUCCAUCCCGACAAGAGGAACAAUCGUCGCUUUCAUCAUGAGCGAGGAAGGCAUGGAGAUCGAAACUCCCGACAUCAAAAGGUAAGCGGAUGUAUUGCGUGAUAUAUUUCUUGGACGAAGAUUCAGAUGGUGUGGUGGUGGGCGUGAUGACGACGUAGUCUGAGUCAUCCCGCUCUGUUGAACGGUUGUACUUCCUCGUGGGCCUGAACCGGCCUGUAAUCAGGCCUGUGGGUUGAGGCUAGACGAGGGCCGAGCACAAAAUCCGUCCCAUGUGUGGCUCGGACAUGGUAUGAAACGUUGGGUUUGGGCCGACGUCUUCAUUUUCCCGACCAAUGCUGUUCCUGGUUUAAUGAGGCUGGAUACGAAGUAAUGUGUUCCUGAAACAAAAUGAUCCAGAGUCAUGGACGGUCUCGACGACUUCUUCCAUUUGAUUGCGGGUUUUCAACCCGAGUGAAAGGGUGAAAUAGUACGAUAUUUGAAUUUGUGUCGGAAUAAGAAUUGGUAAUAGACAACAACAAAGGAUAAUUAAUAUCUGCCUGUAACAGGUAGCUAAAGUUCUCUCUGCAUUUGAUCGGCCACGGGUCAUGAAUUGGAUUCAGAUUUCUCUGGCGGUGGUUCUUAGUGGGACUGACUUCAUUUGAAAAAUGGACUUUCCAGCUCACCAUAAAGCUUCAACACUACUCUCUGUUGCCCUUUUGGUCGAUUAAAAAUCUGCUUGACCUCAUAUGACCAGAUUUUAAAUACUGCUCAAUACUCGCCAGUAGAAUGAAGCAGCCGGUAUUUCGUCUGCAUUGAAUUGAAUAUUCUUCCGCAAGCUUCGAUUUCGAGAAAUGCCAUCACUGGGAACAACAAUGCCACUAUCAAAUUAGCACCCUUCCGUUCAUCCCUGAAUUUUAUUCUGCUUCUUGGCUACCGUUGGUCCAAAUGAUCCUAAAACCAAAAAGAACAGAAAAUUUGCAGCAAUUUAGAAAAAGCAAGUGGAUGGAUUUAGAUUCUUACUCGUGUCUGGUAAAUCUUAUUUCAAAGGGGUUGCAACGACGGGUUAUAGCGUCCAAAAGUCAAGGGGCAAAAUCGAGGUUUGCGGUGACUUUUGGUGUUAUGAGAGCUCUUGCGUUUGUGGAAAGACUCCGCAACACUUACACUCCUGGAUCAAUGCUUUCUAAAUCAUUUAGCCAGUCUUUGCAAGGCGGAUUUUCCUGAUCUCAAAUUCCCAGUUUUAGCGGUCUUAAUCCUGGCGGAAUCCCGACUCCG
Long non-coding RNA from Tigriopus californicus, 3009 nucleotides. RefSeq lists it as uncharacterized. The transcript is spliced from 3 exons. The record is from RefSeq and is a predicted model, not a curated record. Lineage: Eukaryota; Metazoa; Arthropoda; Copepoda; Harpacticoida; Harpacticidae.